UCCCACUCAUGUCAUUAGGCAAGCCAAUCUGCUCGGUCUAAUGGACUAGCAAAUUCUUCAAAUCCCUAAAUGUAGCCUCUUUGUUGGGCAUUUGUUUUCCUUCAAUCACCAUUCAUGUACCUACAGAAGAAUUUUUACAAAGAGAAGUACAAACAAGAGGGUUAGAUUGGCUUUGUGGCAACUCUCUCAAUUCACUCCAGAUAUCCUGAGUUGCUACUAUUCACUCCUUUGCUUCUGCCAAUCUUUUGUCUCUCAUUUCUUCGGUGUGGCGGAAUGUAGUUUGAAUGCUUGCUCUUCUCUAUCUCGUCUCUCAAACUUAGGGAAUUUGGAAUAAGAGCCCGCAAGUCCUUGAUGAAGAUUAUUUGUAGGCUAAUAAUGUUCACUAAACCAAUCGAUUCCUAAACACAAGUGAUGAGUACACAGGGAAAGUAUGCCGCAAACUUCUUUUUGGUAUUCACUCGUGAAUAGGCUACCUCCAAGAUUUUGUCAAUCCAAUCCCCUUACAUAUCAUAAUAAAGAUUCCAUUUCUUCACACAAGGUGACCUCAACCAUUCAAGUGCAUAAGGGGCGAUAAAGUUUGUAGGAGAUUGUCUAGGAUAAGAGAGAAGUUCGAAUAUCCACAAAUAUUCACCUUUAUUUCAAGACACAGCCUCUUCGGAUUAACCUUUCACGAUAACAUUGAGUUUCCUUACAACUCAUUUAUAUCUACUGUUGGAGUCCUAUAUCGGUGGGUUAAAGGGUCCUUGGUCUCCUUAUAUGGUCUUGAGCAAUCCUCUCCUCAAAAGCUAGCUCGUGAGGGGAGGAUUGCCCAAGACCAUAUAAGGAGACCAAGGACCUUUAACCCACCGAUGUGGGACAACAACACCUCCCCGCACGCCCAGGGCUGGACAUCUGGAGCGUAGACAAUAUAAGACGGGAGGUCCAACAUCGGAAACAAUGAACUGGGUGGGUCAAUUUCGGUGACUGAUUUGGGUCAAUUUUUAUUUUGUGGGUUGUGUGAAAAAUACAACACCACCAAAAGAAUCGGAAAGAUCAGGCGACAAAAACCGUCGGAAAAUUACCCUCCACGUGCCGCUAUGCGCCAGCCGGAAUCCAGAAAUUCCGGCGAGAUCUGCGGCACGCGCCGGCGCGUGAGCCCAUCUUCGGUUGAUUUUUGAGUUGUUUUUUUUCUGUUGGGGUCGUCGGUCUAUUCCGACUCCGACCACUUGCUCCUUCCAGAUUUCGACAAUUAUUUUGAGAUUUCGACCGUCAGAACCCUAAUUUUGGAGACAUCAGUUUUUUUUCGAGGAUUUUUUUUUCUUCAGAAAUUCAGAUCUGGUUCUUGGAAUUUUCGAGUCAAAUUCCCAAGAUAUCUUUUGGGCAUGAUAUUUUUUUUUGGCUCCAAAAAUAUUGAAAUUGGAAGUUCAAGUCCUAUGAUUAAAUUUAAGCCGUUAAUGAGAAGAUCAGAAAAUCAAAUGUCACAGUUCAUGAAGAAUCGACGAGGGAAAGGUCGAUUUGGAAGAUCUCGUCCUAGGUGUAGUUAUUGUAAAAGGCUUGGACAUACUCGCAGCGUAUGUUAUUCUAGACCUAAGUGUAGUUAUUGUAAUAGGCUUGGACAUACUCGUUAAAUAUGCUAUUCUUUGCAUGGUCGACCAACUAAAAAUGCUCAUAUUGCUCAGUCUAACACCACAAGUGAUCAACGGGUGUAUUUAUCUAAUAAGGAAUAUAAUGAGUAUCUUCAGUAUCAGGCAAGUAAGCAUAUAUUUCUACUAAUAGCCUCAACUGCACAAUCUCCUACCUUUGGAUCAUGGGUUGUGGACUCAGGUGCUUCUAAUCAUAUUUCUGGUUGUAAAUCACUUUUGUCUGAUAUUGUUUAUUCACAAUCUCUUUCAGCUAUUACUUGAGCUAAUGGAAUUCGAACAGAGCCUAAGGGAGUUAGACAAGCCAAACCCCUAUCUUCUAUCACUCUAGGCUCUGUUCUUUAUGUCCUUGUUUGUCCUUUAUAUCUUGCAUCUGUUAGUCGUUUGGCACAUGCCUUUGAUUGUAGUAUAACUUUUUUUGAUGAUUCUUUUCUAAUGCAGGACCGCAAAACGGGAUAGACAAUUGACAUAGGACAUGAAUUACAAGGCCUUUACCAUCUUACCGCUUCAAAUUCCUUCACAGCAUGCUCCGCUACAGAUUCUCCCAACCUUAUUCACAAACGUUUGGGACAUCCUAGUCUAUCCAAGCUACAAAAGAUGGUGCCUAGUUUGUCUAGUCUGUCCACAUUAGAUUGUGAGUCGUGUUAACUUGGGAAACACACCCGUGCUACAUUUUCACAUAGUAUUGAGAGUCGCUCAAAGUCUAUUUUCUCAUUAGUUUAUUCUGAUAUUUGGGGUCCUAGUCGAGUUAGUUCACCGUUAGGAUUUCGUGACUUUGUUACUUUCAUCGAUGUACUUGGAUUUACUUAACGAAAGAUCGUUCCGAGUUAUUUUCUAUAUUCAAAAGUUUUUGUGCUGAAAUACAAAAUCAAUUUGGUGUUUCUAUUCGUGCUUUUUGUAGUGAUAAUGCUUUAGAAUACUUAUCUUCCCAGUUUCAGGAGUUUAUGACUCAUGAAGGAAUCAUUCACCAAACAUAAUGUUCAUACACCCCUUAGCAGAACGGUAUAGAAGAAAGAAAAAAUAGGCAUCUCAUUGAGACUGCUCGCACUCUUCUCAUUGAAUCCCAUGUUCCACUGUGUUUUUGGGGCGAUGCGGUCCUCACAUCUUGCUAUCUCAUUAACAGAAUGCCAUCAUCUUCGAUCCAGAAUAAGGUUCCCCAUUCCAUACUAUUUCCUCAAUCACAUCUCUACUAUCUCCCUUCGUGUUUUUGGGAGCACAUGUUUUGUUCAUAACUUAGUCUCAGGAAAAGAUAAAUUAGCCCCUCGUGCUCUCAAAUAUGUCUUUCUUUGUUACUCUCGAGUUCAAAAAGGGUAUUGAUGCUAUUCACCUGAUCUGAGUCACUACCUUAUGUCCGUUGAUGUCACAUUCUUUGAAUCUCAACCUUACUAUACAUCUUCUGAUCAUCUUAAUAUCUCUGAGAUUUUACCCAUACCUCAAGUCUUACCCACACCAAUCUUUGAGGAAUCUACGGUUACUUCUCUAUCUCCAGCCUCAGUGCCACCACUUUUGACUUAUCACUGGCGCCCACGUCCAGUAUCAGUCCCAGAUGAUUCAUGUCCUGCGCGUGACACUUCCCCUACUGCGGACCUGCCUCUUCCUAGUCAACCAGUUGCACUUCAAAAAGGUAUAAGAUCCACUCGUAAUGCUAACCCACAUUAUACUUUCUUGAGUUAUCAUCGUUUGUCAUCACCUUAUUAUGUUUUUGUAUCAUCUUUGUCCUCUAUUUUCAUUCUAAGACUACAAGUAAAGCACUUUCCGAUGGAAACAUGCUAUGAUUGAUGAGAUGUCUGUUUUACAUACGAGUGGUACUUGGGAGCUUGUUUCCCUUCCUGCAGGUAAAUCUACUGUUGGUUGUUGUUGGGUUUAUACAGUCAAAGUUGGUCCAGAUGGUCAGGUUGAUCGGAUGAAGGCUUGCCUUGUUGCCAAAGAAUAUACACAGAUAUUUUGGCUUGAUUAUAGUGACACUUUCUCUCCUGUGGCUAAAAUAGCAUUGGUCUGUCUUUUUCUCUCUAGCUGUCGUUCGUCAUUGGCCUCUUUAUCAGUUGGACAUUAAGAAUGUUUUUCUGCAUGGUGAUCUUGAGGAAGAAGUUUAUAUGGAGCAACCACUUGGUUUUGUUGCUCAGGGGGAGUCUAGCAGCCUUGUAUGUCGAUUGCGCAAGUCACUCUAUUGUUUGAAACAAUCCCCUCGAGCCUGGUUCGGAAAGUUUAGCACAGUUAUUUAGGAGUUUGGCAUGAUUUAUACUGGAGCUGAUCAUUCAGUGUUUUAUCGCCAUUCUGAACCAAAUCUGUGUAUUUAUUUGGUGGUUUAUGUUGACGAUAUUGUUAUCACCGGCAAUGAUCAAGAUGGUAUCAGAGCCAGACCCUUCCAGUUCAUUGUUUUCGAUGUUGGGUCUCCUGUCUUAUAUUGUUCACGCUCCAAAUGUCCAGCCCUGGGCGUGCGGGGGGUGUUGGAGUCCCACAUCGGUGGGCUAAAGGGUUCUUGGUCUCCUUAUAUGGUCUUGGGCAAUCCUCCCCUCAUGAGUUAGCUUUUGAGGUUAAGUUAGACCCAAAGUCCAUUUCUUUAUCACCUACAAAACGAGCAAACAAGAUUAGUAAUAAAAGUUCCUCACAAUCACUGGUAUUUCCACUUCUUGUGUUUGGCUAGCACAACUCAAAUGUACUCAUAUACUCUAGCCUUUUACCACUCAAAGAUCCGACCAAAGUUGCUAUUCAAUUUGAUCAAUUGCUUGCUAAGAGCCACAAACAACCUUGAGGGUAGAAUGGAUUUUUGUUCCUAGAAGUACAGAUGACUCAAUAAAAUCUAAUGGACUUGAAUCAAGAAAAUUAACAAUGAAAUAACACUAGAAAAGCACAAGAAAGAAAUUAGCACAAAAGAAAAAAAAUUGGACUCAAAGAACUUGAUAAUAUUUAGUAGGGUAAUCUACUAAUUAGAUUCAAGUUAUGAAGCCAAAUAAAGGUAUAAUUAAUGAAAAAUAAACCAUUUUAAAAAGAUUUGUACUAAGAAAAUCAUUCGAGAAGAAAGUUGGUUGAAUUCCAUGGAGAAAAAGGAUCCAAAAGUGGAGCUUAAACAUGGAAAAACAUGGGAAAUUAGCUCCAAAAACUGCUGGAGCCGUCGCUGAAGGGAGCUGGAGCAGGCUGGAUGGUCUGGAGGCACUGGCUUGAGCACUGGAGCUGAGAUGAGGGGUAGAAGCUGGAGGCUCAAUGCGGAAGCCAUUUGUAAAUAGCUGGUUGUUCCAAGCUACGUGAAAGUCGAUGUUAGGCGGCUCCUGGAUGCGGAAGGUGUUUUUGCUGAGGCUGGAGAUGGCUCAAGCGGAAGCUGAUGAUACGGUCCAGGCGGAUGACGCGCUGAUUUGGCAACUUCUAAUUGGCCAUGAAUAAUUACUGAAAAAUCCUUCUUUUAAAAAAAAAUAGAAUUCUCUUUUGUACUCCUUUGGCUCCACCAUGCCCAAUUUUUGUACCACACAACUUUAAAUAAAUUUCUUCUUGGGUCUUUGGAUCAAAUAUACUUUCUUCGCUCCUUCCUCAAGAACACUUGAAAGACACCAAGAACACUUUGAAAUUCCAACAUCCCUGAAAUCAAUUUGGAAUUGACUAAAAUUAUAGGAUUAGCUCCCCCUAGACCUAGUGAACGAAUCCCACUAAUUUUUAACCUCUUAUUCACACUAAAUCUUCAAGACCCAAUUUCAACUUUCCAAACUUUCAAGCUCAACAAUGAUGUAUUCAUCUCUACAACUCAAAAUUGGAUGAAAUUUUUGAAUUUGGAUUCAAAAGACACUAGGGAGCAAAGAUCUAGUGUCAAAAAUAACAAAUCAAAACAAAAAAAAUGGAUUUUUUUUAAUAUUACCAAACCGCAAUAUGAAAUACACCGAAUGGAAACCCUAAUAGUAGAACAACAAUUAAAGAUAAAAGAAUAGAAAUAUAGAGACAUAAAUUGAAAUUAAGACAACCAAUACUAUAUUAUAGACCUCCUUGAGUGUUCAAGAUAAGCACCUAAACCUAUAAAUCAAGUAAGACACAAGUAUAAGAUUAAUAAGCAACAUGACUAUAUCAAUGCCAAAAACUCCUAUUAAGAACACAAAACAAGCACAUAUACUAUAGAAAUACCCUCAAGAGGAAUGAUUUCACCAAGCAAGCAAUCCCAUCAACAAUUAAUACAAAGACCAUAGCUUCAACUCUCCCAAGGGUUUCACUUAUCAAGAUAUCAAUAAUCAAAAUUUUCUAAGUGUAGAGGAGUUAUUCUCCAUUAUUUAUAACCUAAUCUCACUAUUACAAUACCCUUAAUGAACUAAGCGUCUUCUUGGUCAAUAGGCUUGCAUUUUAAGAAUACCACUUUGCAUUCAUAGCCUCUUCCUCCUUAUCCGAGUGGUCUUUCACGUGGAGCCUUGUACUUCUAUUUUUGCACGUUCCUAAGCUUCAAGCCUUUGUUUCAAGCUCCUUCCAAACCUCCAAGAUAUUGACUUGACCCAAAGCUCUUAAACUCCUUGUCUUGGCUUGACGUGCAUGCAUCAACAUCAGUUGGAUAUCAAGAAUGCGUUCCUUCACAGUGAUGUUUAAGAGGAAGUGAAUAUUGAGCAACCACCUGGUGUCAUUGCGCAUGGGGAGUAUGGGAAAGUCUAUCAUUUGAAGAAGUCCUUGUAUGGCUUGAAACAAAGUCCCCGGGCUUUGUUUGACAAGUUGAGUAAGGUAUUUCAGGAAUUUUGGUUGAAAAUGAGCAAAGGUGAUCACUCAGUCCUCUACCGACAAUCAACAAGUGGCAUAAUCCUCUCUGUUGUAAAUGUUGAUGACAUUAUCAUAACAUAUGCAGUGUAUGUCUUUCCUGCAUACUGGUUUCAUACAAAAGUCUUGGGCUAGUUGAAAUACUUCUUGGGAGUAGAAGUGAACAGAAGCUAGAAGGGAAUUUUUCUGUUUCAGAGAAAGCGUAUUCUUGACCUGCUUGCAAAUACUGAAAAGUUGGCAGCCAAACCCUGCAAUACUCUAAUGUUUCCCAACAUGCAUCUUAUGAGAGGUGAUGAUGAUCCUUUUAACGAUCCAAAGGGAUAUAGAAGGCUGCUUUGGAAGUUAAACUACCUUAGUGUGACUCGUCUAGGUAUUGCUUUUGUAGUAAGUGUUGUUAGCCAGUUCAUAUUCGCACCUACGGUUAAACAUUGGGAAGCUUUGGAACAUAUUCUAUGUUACUUGAAAGGAGCUCUUCGACUUGGCGUACUGUAUAACAAUCACGAUCAUACUUGUGUUGAGUGUUUUGUAUUUUGUAGAUGCUGCGUGGGCUGGAUCUAAAGUUGAUAUAAGAUCUACUACAAGCUAUUCUGUCUUUGUUGGAGGAAUCUUGUGUUAUGAAGGAGUGAGAGCAAGGUGUUGCAUCUCGAUGAAGUGUAGAAUUCGACUACAGAUAUAUGUCACAGUUUACGUGUGAAAUUAUGUGGGUACAUCAUCUUUUAACUGAAACUGGGUUAAAGCAUCAUAGACCGGCAAAAAUUUGAUGCGGUAAUCAAGCUACUCUUCUUAUUGCAUCAAAUACAGUGUAUCAUGAAAGAACUAAACGUAUUGUCAACUGUCAUUUUAUUCAUGAGAAGAUUUAGGUAAACCUGAUUUUCACUGGCUAUGUGAAUAAAGCGUUGAAUGGAACUUGAGUUGAACCAUUGUAACAAGAUGGACAUGAUCAAUAUCUAUGCUCCAACUUGAGGGGGGAGUGUCGGAGAAUCAUAAAGUAAAAUGUGUCCUUGUAUAUACUAUUCUACUCCCUCCGUUUAAAAAAGAAUGACUUAGUUUGACUUGACACAAAGUUUAAGAAAAUAAUAAAGACUUUUGAAUCUUGUAGCCUUAAAUUAAAGUUGUGUCAAAUGUACCAAAAUGCUUUUUAAUCUUGUGGUCCUAAACAUGCCAUGUGAAAAGUUGAAAUUAAAGUAUUGUCAAAAAAGGAAAGGGAUCGUUCUUUUUGAAACAGACUACAAAGAAAAGUAGGUCAUUCUUUUUUAAACGGAGGGAGUAGCUGAUUUUUAGGGAUUUAAAUAUCUAAUUACCUUAGCCUUUUCUUUACCUGUAUUUAAAUCAUUGUAUUCUUUGGAUAAUAGACAUUAAAAUUACCCCACUACCUUUGUUGUACAAAAAUCUAGUAGAAGACUAGCUAUCAACACAUAUAUCAUGGUUUUGUUCUUGUUACUUGUCUUGUAAUGUAAUAUGUUCUGCUAUAAUGCACUGCGGGACCCUAAGAAGGUGUUUUGUUGACAAGAAACUGCAUUCAUUGAAAAUAGUUCUUGGGCAGUUCAGAUACUGCGUCAUUCUUUAAGAUGCACAGAGGAUUUUUAAUAGUUAUUUUAUAUAAUUUUGCCUUUUGAUUAUUCAUAAUAGAUUCCUGUAGACCUAUCUGGUACUCACUCUUUGAACAGGGUGCUUGUGCAGUUCUGGUGUAGCCACAGCACUGUUCCUUUAAACGUGAUUAUCUCACAGGUGAUCUUUCUCUAUUGUAUCUCUAAUAAUACAUAGCAAGCAUUGGUAUGCCAAUUGAACUAGUCUUGGGCUAUUCACAUAGUCAGAAAUCAUCUUUGCAUGAACUUUACAGAUGGGUUCGCGGUGUGGAAAGGCUCUCGUAGCUGAAAGUGUUCAAGAUUCACUUCACAGUUGGUGUAGGAGAGUGAAGAACAGGUCGAAACAAGAUGCUUUACGCUCUAUAGCUACAAGAUCAACAUGUUCCCUUGAAUCAAUGAUUGACGAGGGAGAUGAGAUAGCAACAGUGGCAUCAGUAACUUUAUCUCCAUGUUCCUCUAGAGGCUCAUUUCACCACCUAGAUGAGAAUGUGCUGUCAAAUGACCAGCAAGAAGAUUGCAUUGGUGGAACUUCAAACCAACCAGGACAUGAACUAUCCUUCAGAAACAGGGAAUAUUCAUGUGAAGCUCUGGAGAUUAUGGAUGAUGAGAAGCAUUCAUCUGAACCUCUGGAUGAUAUGGAUAAUGAUGAUGCAGACAAGACAGAAACUCUGUUCGAGCUGUUCCAGAAGACAUGAACUUUUCUCAUGCUACAGAGUAUUUAAUCUGUACAUUGUACACCCACCUUCCCAUACGCUGCACGAGCUGACUAGCUGCAGAGCAAGUCGUGCACGGGAUAAGCCCUUUUUACACAAGUACUUAUUGUUGCCUUUGCUAUCUGACAAAGAGACCACUUCUCUAGGAUUAAUCUAUGUUAUUAUGUAACUCAGAAAGUGAGCAUACAUUGAUUUGUAAAGAAAGUCUGAUGAACAUGGUUGAAUAUAUGCCUAAUUUUCAGUUGAUAACAUUGGGCCUUCAAAAUGUUUUUGUUUUACACCCAUAACUCUUUUUCACCUAGGCUUGGGUAAAAUAAUAGAGCUAAGUAUUAAUGAAAAGUCUUC
RNAcentral lists this long non-coding RNA (8979 nucleotides) under Capsicum annuum. RNAcentral describes it as "long non-coding RNA (CANN_LNC015800)". Lineage: Eukaryota; Viridiplantae; Streptophyta; Magnoliopsida; Solanales; Solanaceae. The record is from RNAcentral.